Long non-coding RNA from Salvia splendens (bonfire salvia), 1320 nucleotides. RefSeq lists it as uncharacterized. The transcript is spliced from 6 exons. NCBI's taxonomy places the organism in Eukaryota, Viridiplantae, Streptophyta, Magnoliopsida, Lamiales, Lamiaceae. The record is from RefSeq and is a predicted model, not a curated record.
AGUCACUCAGUGGUGCUUUGCUGUCAAUACAAUCUGCCUCAUCGGAUUUACCACGGUCUUCUAGAUCAACCUCAGAGGUACUGGCUGCAGUCAUUAAGGCAGGUGUUUCUAGAGAGCAUGAAAUCCUGGCUGAAAUAUGAGAUGUUUUUUCUUUCAUUCGCAAAAUGGAGCCCAGAAGAGUGAUGGAUCCGAUGCUUGUCUCUCGUGUUAGGAUUUUCUAUAUAAUGUCCCUGCUUGCUCGAUCACCAGAGCUACAAUCAAUUAAGUUUUCUCCGGUUGAGCGCUUUCUUGAGAAGCCAAAUAAUGGACCUAGUAGAAGCUCUAGCCGUGGUAGCAGCCUUGGAAGAUCUCCAGUUCGUUACGAUUCUAGUUCAAGGAAUAUGCUGGUUGGGGACCAAAUUUAAGGUUCAAAGUAAAUAUAAAACCAGAAAAGAAGUCAAAGUUGUCAUCAGUAGUUCUGAAGAUACGUGGAAUUGAUCAGGAGACCUGGUGACAGCAUAUAGCAGGUGGAAAGCUCAAGGAAAUAACCGAAGAAGCAAAAAUUUAUUCAAUUGGAAAAAAGGCUCUUGCGGCUCUUUUUGUUCAUACCCCUGCUGGCGCGCUCCAGCUCAAAUUCGAAAUUGGCUUGUAGAGAACUUCGAUUUCCUUUCCAUUGCAGAUGACAUGGCUGCAGGAGCAACUGGUCAGCUGGAAAUUCUCUCUACAGCAAUAAUGGAUGGUUGGAUGGCUGGACUUGGUGCUGCCCAGCCUCCGACUACCGAUGCUCUUGGACAGCUGUCUGAAUAUGCCAGAUAUCUUUAUACUUCACAGCUGCAACAUUUGUAGGAUAUUGCUGGUACUUUGGAGACUGAAGCAGCGGAAGACUCUGCUCAAGUAGCUAAGCUAAGUUCAACUCUUGAAUAUUGUUGAUCACAAGAGAAGAAAGAUUUUACAACAAAUGAAAAACGACGCGGAGAUGUUAAAUUUAGAAAGUGGUGCUGCACCUAUUCGGAAUCCUUCCACUGUUGUUGAAGAUGCAAGGCUAGCGUCGUUAAUCUCCCUCGACAGCAUACUGAAGCAAGUCAAGGGUUUUCAUCUUUCUCCAAUUUCUCCUCUUUUAACUUUCUGACAGAUGUCAGAUGCUUCAAAUUUUUGGUCAUUCAUCAUGAAGUGUGUUUAUAGUGUUUGAACUUUCUGUAUGUAAUUUGUGUAGUGUGUAGUGUUUAUUUUAUGUAUGUGUAAGUGUGCGUAUUUGUGUGGUGUAUAGAGGUGUGCAAUGUGUAUUGUGUGCUAUGAUGUAUAGUACAUAGUACGUACGCAGUGUUAUUCAUUAUUUUUAUA